RNAcentral lists this long non-coding RNA (876 nucleotides) under Phasianus colchicus (ring-necked pheasant). RNAcentral's name for it is "lncRNA (ENSPCLG00000017725.1)". Lineage: Eukaryota; Metazoa; Chordata; Aves; Galliformes; Phasianidae. The record is from RNAcentral.
CACCGUGUUGUGUUGUUGUCACCCGGUUGUGUCGUUGUGUUGUUGUCACCCCCACAUUGUGUUGUUGCCACUGCAUUGUGUUGUUGUCAGCCCCACAUUGUGUUGUUGUCACCCCCCGUUGCGUUGUUGUCCCCCCCACGUUGUGUUGUUGCCACAGCAUGGUGUUGUUGUCACCCAGUUUUGUUGUUGUGUUGUUGACACCUGGUUUUGUCGUUGUGUUGUUGUCACCCGGUUGUGUCAUUGUGUUGUUGCCACUGCGUUGUGUUGUUGUCACCCGGUUGUGUCGUUGUGUUGUUGUCACCUGGUUGUGUCAUUGUGUUGUUGUCACCCAGUGGUGUUGUUGUCACCUGGUUGUGUCGUUGUGUUGUUGCCACUGCGUUGUGUUGUUGACACCCGGUUUUGUCGUUGUGUUGUUGCCACCCGGAUGUGUCGUUGUGUUGUUGCCACCCGGUUGUGUGGUUGUGUUGUUGCGACCCCCCCGUUGCGUUGUUGUCCCCCCCAGGAGAAGGAGUCCCCCGACGGGAACAACGUCGCCUGCAUCCUGACGCUGCCGCCGUACCAACGCCGCGGAUACGGGAAGUUCCUCAUCGCCUUCAGUGGGUGAUGGGGGACAGCUGGGGGCCUGGGGGGACAUUUGGGGACAAUUUGGGGACAGUUGGGGACAAUUGGGGACAAUUUGGGGACAAUUGGGGGACAAUUGGGGACAUUUGGGGACAAUUUGGGGAGAAUUUUGGAUAAUUUGGGGAUAAUUUGGGAAUGUUUGGGAGAAUUUUGGACAAUUUGGGGACAACGUGGGACAAUUUGGGGACAUUGGAGGACAAUUUGGGGAGAAUUUGGGGAGAAUUUUGGACAAUUUGGGAACAAUUUGGGGACAAU